GUUGGUUGUCGUCAGCUCGUGUCGUGAGAUGUUGGGUUAAGUCCCGCAACGAGCGCAACCCCUAUUGUUAGUUGCCAUCAUUCAGUUGGGCACUCUAGCGAGACUGCCGGUAAUAAACCGGAGGAAGUGGGGAUGACGUCAAAUCAUCAUGCCCCUUAUGACCUGGGCUACACACGUGCUACAAUGGUUGGUACAACGAGUUGCGAGUCGGUGACGGCGAGCUAAUCUCUUAAAGCCAAUCUCAGUUCGGAUUGUAGGCUGCAACUCGCCUACAUGAAGUCGGAAUCGCUAGUAAUCGCGGAUCAGCACGCCGCGGUCGAAUACGUUCCGGGCCUU
RNAcentral lists this ribosomal RNA (336 nucleotides) under uncultured Streptococcus sp. RNAcentral describes it as "bacterial SSU rRNA". It matches the Rfam family "Bacterial small subunit ribosomal RNA", at positions 1044 to 1382 of the family's 1533-position model. The record is from RNAcentral. Lineage: Bacteria; Bacillati; Bacillota; Bacilli; Lactobacillales; Streptococcaceae.